Molecule: ribosomal RNA, 278 nt
Filed under: uncultured bacterium
Lineage: Bacteria
Description: partial 16S ribosomal RNA
Rfam family: Bacterial small subunit ribosomal RNA
Source: RNAcentral
UGCCAGCAGCCGCGGUAAUACGUAGGGGGCUAGCGUUAUCCGGAUUUACUGGGCGUAAAGGGUGCGUAGGCGGUCUUUCAAGUCAGGAGUUAAAGGCUACGGCUCAACCGUAGUAAGCUCCUGAUACUGUCUGACUUGAGUGCAGGAGAGGAAAGCGGAAUUCCCAGUGUAGCGGUGAAAUGCGUAGAUAUUGGGAGGAACACCAGUAGCGAAGGCGGCUUUCUGGACUGUAACUGACGCUGAGGCACGAAAGCGUGGGGAGCAAACAGGAUUAGAUA